GACUUGGAUGGAGCAUGCGCGCUCAGCUGACUUCCUUAAUGUUUUAUAAAAGCCCACCAUUGAAUACAAUUAGCAUAACGUGUGCGCAAUUAGGAAUCUGUGAUCAAACUACUUUCAAUUAUUAUUCUUUUUAUAUUACAUUUGAACUCUUUCUUCAAUCAUGUCCGGGACUGUGUCAGGAUAGGCUACGUCACAGACCUGUAGCUGGUAUAAAAAGCUCCGUCUGAUGCAGCGACUACAUUAGAGAGAAGCAGCGUCUGUGGGCAGUCUCCUCCAUCUGGCCAAAUUACUGCAACAACAACAAACAAAACAAAAGCGAGAAAAUGUCCAAAAUGACGAUCGUUCAGCUUGGAGUGAUUGUGUUCGCCAUAUGUUUAUCAACACAGGCGACAGAGCACAGCACAAAUACCACAUCAAUGGGGAACUCAACCUCCAACCCUAACGCCACCACCGUGGCCACAGACACCCACAGCAGUUCGGCCAACACUACAGGCACCAACGCAGCAGGCGUCUCGCUGCAUGCAGGCACCGUCUCCUUUCUGAUCCCCGUCACCAUGGCAGCCUCUCUCCUGCAGCGCUACUGUUGAAGCCCCUGGACCCCCAACCCCAAAGUCCCCUCUUUUCUGCCUCUGCACCUCCCAUCAUCCCACCCAGUCCAACCUCCCUCUUCUCGCCUUCGCCGCACUGCACAAGACUAACAUGGAUGGACUCCACAACCUUCUUUGUCCUCCUUAAGUAAUGAUAAUAAUAUGUAUAAUUCAAGACAUUUCUUUCAAUAAAAGGGGGUUUAACCUGGAGACCAUCACCCCCUCAGCCCAUUGCAUGGAAUCAAAAGGAAUGGCCGUUCACCCAGCUUCCCUUUUGGCUUUUGUUUCCAUAGUCACGCCAUCACAUUAUGGAGAUGCUCAGGGCUGCGGUUGUCAUGUCACAUGUCUUGAUUAAAAUGCGGACCACUUGAGUGUACAGAGGUUCUUUCUGUGGUUGUAAAUCCACCUGGCAAUCAGAAUGGUGUCCGUAAAGUGAAGUUUGGCACAAACGCAAUCAAAAACAAAAUGGUGGGUUGGAUUUUCAGUUGGGCUCUUUCAUAAUUUGGCUCUUGGGUCUUUCUAUUAGAAAUGUCAAAGAGAUGUAUGUAGCAAAUAAGUUGCCACAAGACUUGUGUCAGUUCUGCCUUGUGAUUUUUAAAGAUGUGUGGUCUUUUACAAUGAGGGUUUGAUUGACACCGUUUCCCCCCUUCAUCCAUUGGUUAGACCCAGGAAAUGACUGUCUGUAUAAUCAUAUGGGAAGGGUUGAUGUUAGAUUUAUAUUUCUCCCUUAUAGUUUAUAUUUUGUAUAAAUGGAAAUGUUGUACUGUUUAUUAGUUUGGAUAUGAUAAUGGAAGAAUGACAAUGUAAAAAUAAAUAAUACAACAUGAUGAAAACUUUA
Molecule: long non-coding RNA, 1425 nt
Organism: Eleginops maclovinus (Patagonian blennie)
Lineage: Eukaryota; Metazoa; Chordata; Actinopteri; Perciformes; Eleginopidae
Exons: 2
Source: RefSeq, a predicted model, not a curated record